This 248-nucleotide ribosomal RNA is filed under the name uncultured Lactobacillus sp. RNAcentral describes it as "partial 16S ribosomal RNA". It matches the Rfam family "Bacterial small subunit ribosomal RNA", at positions 116 to 356 of the family's 1533-position model. Lineage: Bacteria; Bacillati; Bacillota; Bacilli; Lactobacillales; Lactobacillaceae. The record is from RNAcentral.
CGUGGGGAACCUGCCCCACUAGUCUGGGAUACCACUUGGAAACAGGUGCUAAUACCUGAUAAGAAAGCAGAUCGCAUGAUCAGCUUUUAAAAGGCGGCGUAAGCUGUCGCUAUGGGAUGGCCCCGCGGUGCAUUAGCUAGUUGGUAAGGUAAAGGCUUACCAAGGCGAUGAUGCAUAGCCGAGUUGAGAGACUGAUCGGCCACAUUGGGACUGAGACACGGCCCAAACUCCUACGGGAGGCAGCAGCG